Non-coding RNA from Cricetulus griseus (Chinese hamster), 1422 nucleotides. Lineage: Eukaryota; Metazoa; Chordata; Mammalia; Rodentia; Cricetidae. The record is from RefSeq and is a predicted model, not a curated record.
UUGUCCAGAACUCAGUGACUUGGACCUCCUGACUCUAAAGCUGCUGGGAAGUGUAGUCUUCCUGUGAGCCCAGAGAGGAAGUGAACUAGGGAUCAGCAGAUACAGGGUCAUCUCUGCCACAGUUGGAGCUGGCUUUGAGACUUUAGCAACCAUACAAUUUUCAGGGGUGAGGAUGGUUGUUCUGGUUACUUAUUACCAUGUUAUAAACCAUCACAAAACCAAUAUACAAUUUGGGCAAAGCUCUGUGGGGACAGACUUCUGUUUCCCUCAGAUUUAGCAGGACUAGCACAGAAGCUGAGGGAUGAGUUAUUUGGAGGCCUGUUUGCUCACAUUUUUGUUCUGGAGAGUGGGAAGUCCAAGGAUGAAGAAUUUGCAUCUGGCUUACAUCCCUCUAUAUUUCGUCGUGGUCUUUCCAUGUGGUAUGUGCAGCAUGGAUACCUUACUGGGCAGCAUUACUUCUACAUGCAGCCUCACACCUCCAAAAUUGAUGUCUGAAAACAGCACAAGUUACAUGGCCUUUUCCAGCUUAUCCGUAGAAGUCAAUCCCACCCAUGACAUCAAGAGUUAAGUUCAUACAAGUGUUUCCUUUUCACACCUCUUGAAGGCUCCUCCUGAGUGCUUGGAUUACAGGCAUGUACAACCUUGUCUGAUUUUAUAAGGUGCUGCAGAUCGAACCCAGGACUUUGUGCAUGCUACACAGGUACUCUACCAACAGGGCUACAGCCUCAGCUAGGAGUAGACUCAUAAGAAGGAGACAGGAGAGCCAGACUCAGCAUACAUUGUGACUAUGGAAGCAGAAAAGGACCUGUGACAAUAGUACCACAGAUCAGAGUGAUGUGGGCCUGCUCUGGGUUGCAUGUGUCACCUGCCCAAAGGCUCUCAGUGUUAAAAGUUUGGACCCCGGCACAGCAUUCUUGGGAGGUGAAACAUGCACUUUUAAGAAGUGAGGCCCAGUGGGAACUCCUUUGGGAUUCCUUCUGCUUCCUGCUCAUGAGGUGGACUCUGUUUUGCCACAAACUCCUUGCCAUCACCACCCGGGACACUCACUGGAGGCUCAUCUGAUCUUGGACAGAAAUGCCCUAAAUUGCAAACCAAGAUAAAUCUUUUUUCUUUAUAAGAAAAUUAUCUCAGAUAUUUUGUCAUAGUGAUAGAAAGCUGACUAGCACAUAGGCCAAGAGCCAAAGUAUGCGGGUGACCUUUGGAAGCAGGGAAAGGCAAGGAAAUGGAUUCUCCGCUGGAGUCCCCAGAAGGAACACAGCCUUGCUGAUUCAUUUUGCUCUUCUGACAUCUAGGAGCUAACACGUUUGUGUCAUUUUAAGCCUCAAAGUUCAGGGGGAACAUAUUACAAGAGCACGAGGGAUUCUACACUGCUUCAAGAGCAGCUGAUGCCUGAUGGGUACAGGUUGGUAAUUAUCCCAGUGU